CACCGCCCGUCACACCAUGGAAGUCAGCUGUACCGGAAGUCGGUGCGCCAACCCGCAAGGGAGGUAGCCGCCUAUGGUAUGACUGGUGACUGGGGUG
Molecule: ribosomal RNA, 97 nt
Filed under: uncultured bacterium
Lineage: Bacteria
Description: partial 16S ribosomal RNA
Rfam family: Bacterial small subunit ribosomal RNA
Source: RNAcentral